RNAcentral lists this ribosomal RNA (460 nucleotides) under uncultured bacterium. Its description in RNAcentral is "partial 16S ribosomal RNA". It matches the Rfam family "Bacterial small subunit ribosomal RNA", at positions 338 to 795 of the family's 1533-position model. The record is from RNAcentral.
CCUACGGGAGGCAGCAGUGAGGAAUAUUGGUCAAUGGACGCGAGUCUGAACCAGCCAAGUCGCGUGCAGGAUGACUGCCCUAUGGGUUGUAAACUUCUUUUAUAUGGGGAUAAACUGUGACACGUGUGGCUUUUUGUAUGUACCUUAUGAAUAAGGAUCGGCUAACUCCGUGCCAGCAGCCGCGGUAAUACGGAGGAUACGAGCGUUAUCCGGAUUUAUUGGGUUUAAAGGGAGCGUAGGCGGACUGUUAAGUCAGUGGUGAAAGUCUGCGGCUCAACCGUGGAAUUGCAGUUGAAACUGGCGGUCUGGAGUACAGUUGAGGUAGGCGGAAUGCGUGGUGUAGCGGUGAAAUGCUUAGAUAUCACGAAGAACUCCGAUUGCGAAGGCAGCUUACCGAGCUACAACUGACGCUGAGGCACGAAAGUGUGGGUAUCAAACAGGAUUAGAUACCCUAGUAGUC